Molecule: long non-coding RNA, 944 nt
Filed under: Homo sapiens (human)
Lineage: Eukaryota; Metazoa; Chordata; Mammalia; Primates; Hominidae
Description: HSALNT0144340
Source: RNAcentral
GGAGAACCAGAGUAAACCCUCGUGGUGUCCUGGCUUCUAAGCAUUUUGUUGGCAAGAAGGGAUGACCAGGCACCCUGUUCAUCUGCAUGUACAAAGUCUGCAACACAGGUUUUGAUGAGGAGUAAACAAGCUGCUGAACAAGCUGUUUGUCCACACACAAAUAUUGAACUAACAUGACUGGCCAGAUGCACUGAAAAGAGAAUUGAGACACUGAACUCAGAGCACAUGGAGAAAAAGAGAGGGAGAAAGAUUAAAUUUUGUCUAACUGCUCUUGUAUGUUUCCUCAGUUUUGUCUUGAAAGGAGGAUAAUGUGUCCAAGGAUGGUGUGUGGCCUUGCUGAUGCAGCAUUCCUUGGAGAGGCUGUCUCCUGUCCAAGGCCCUGUGAGAGCAAAGGUUGGCAGGGUCCCAUCUUGCCACAAUUGACCUCUGUGUGAUCUGCUCAGGAAAUGAAUUGGCAGGCAGGUUGGGAAAUUUUGCAAAAUGAAUAGUCACUUAUAAGGGAUCAGGAGUUGGAGCCAGAGCCCGAGAGAAACUUAUUACCAAACACUAAGACUUAGUGAGAGGUUCCCCAGGAUGCUAACUCCUGUGCUGAGAGCUCUUGUUAAGCUAUUUAAGCCCCUGCAAGAGAGAUGUCUGCAAUCAUAGAAGAAAUGAAGAGUAAUCCUGAGUCAUGGCAGGAGAAGACCCUGGAGCAAGGCGAACGGAGUUCACAUCUGUGCCCUCCACUUACUAGGAAGGCUUUGCGCAGGCUGCUUAAGGUCUCUGAGACUCAGCCUCCAUAAAAUGGGUACCAGAACACCUUUUUCUGUGAGAGGUACAUGAAUUAGUAGGGAUCCGGUGGUGAAUAAAUAAUCUGUUGAAUGAAUGAUUUAAUAUAAAUCACCUUUCCCAGUGCCUAGUUCCUCAUUUAUGCUUUUAAUGAGUGAAUAAAGAAUAUAUUUUUC